This 269-nucleotide long non-coding RNA is filed under the name Mytilus galloprovincialis (Mediterranean mussel). The record is from RNAcentral. Lineage: Eukaryota; Metazoa; Mollusca; Bivalvia; Mytilida; Mytilidae.
GCCUGUAUCCCUGCUCUAUUGAAAGUUUCCAGCACUUUCAUAAACGUCAUUAUGUAGGGUAGUAUAGAAAUAAUUAAUGUUCCGUAAGUACAUAAUCGUGAUUGUCGUAUGACUGAGGGAGGGUGACCAUCCUUUUAGAUUUUAAUUUCCCAAAUAUUUAGUGCAGUAUUAGAUAAAACUUUUUCACCCGUUUGCUCAACAUGUGUAGGAAUUUUCUAUGCAUACAUUUUUGUCACGUGGUGAUGGAAGUCACAUGACAGAUUCGUCUG